ACUGGAGGACCGAACCGACUAAUGUUGAAAAAUUAGCGGAUGACCUGUGGCUGGGGGUGAAAGGCCAAUCAAACCGGGAGAUAGCUGGUUCUCCCCGAAAGCUAUUUAGGUAGCGCCUCGUGAAUUCAUCUCCGGGGGUAGAGCACUGUUUCGGCUAGGGGGCCAUCCCGGCUUACCAACCCGAUGCAAACUGCGAAUACCGGAGAAUGUUAUCACGGGAGACACACGGCGGGUGCUAACGUCCGUCGUGAAGAGGGAAACAACCCAGACCGCCAGCUAAGGUCCCAAAGUCAUGGUUAAGUGGGAAACGAUGUGGGAAGGCCCAGACAGCCAGGAUGUUGGCUUAGAAGCAGCCAUCAUUUAAAGAAAGCGUAAUAGCUCACUGGUCGAGUCGGCCUGCGCGGAAGAUGUAACGGGGCUAAACCAUGCACCGAAGCUGCGGCAGCGACACUGUGUGUUGUUGGGUAGGGGAGCGUUCUGUAAGCCUGUGAAGGUGUGUCGUGAGGCAUGCUGGAGGUAUCAGAAGUGCGAAUGCUGACAUAAGUAACGAUAAAGCGGGUGAAAAGCCCGCUCGCCGGAAGACCAAGGGUUCCUGUCCAACGUUAAUCGGGGCAGGGUGAGUCGACCCCUAAGGCGAGGCCGAAAGGCGUAGUCGAUGGGAAACGGGUUAAUAUUCCCGUACUUGGUGUUACUGCGAAGGGGGGACGGAGAAGGCUAUGUUGGCCGGGCGACGGUUGUCCCGGUUUAAGCGUGUAGGUGUGUGUUCCAGGUAAAUCCGGUUCACUUUAACACUGAGGCGUGACGACGAGGCACUACGGUGCUGAAGCAACAAAUGCCCUGCUUCCAGGAAAAGCCUCUAAGCAUCAGGUAACAUCAAAUCGUACCCCAAACCGACACAGGUGGUCAGGUAGAGAAUACCAAGGCGCUUGAGAGAACUCGGGUGAAGGAACUAGGCAAAAUGGUGCCGUAACUUCGGGAGAAGGCACGCUGACACGUAGGUGAAGUGAUUUACUCAUGGAGCUGAAGUCAGUCGAAGAUACCAGCUGGCUGCAACUGUUUAUUAAAAACACAGCACUGUGCAAACACGAAAGUGGACGUAUACGGUGUGACGCCUGCCCGGUGCCGGAAGGUUAAUUGAUGGGGUCAGCGCAAGCGAAGCUCCUGAUCGAAGCCCCGGUAAACGGCGGCCGUAACUAUAACGGUCCUAAGGUAGCGAAAUUCCUUGUCGGGUAAGUUCCGACCUGCACGAAUGGCGUAAUGAUGGCCAGGCUGUCUCCACCCGAGACUCAGUGAAAUUGAACUCGCUGUGAAGAUGCAGUGUACCCGCGGCAAGACGGAAAGACCCCGUGAACCUUUACUAUAGCUUGACACUGAACAUUGAGCCUUGAUGUGUAGGAUAGGUGGGAGGCUUUGAAGUGUGGACGCCAGUCUGCAUGGAGCCGACCUUGAAAUACCACCCUUUAAUGUUUGAUGUUCUAACGUGGACCCGUUACCCGGGUUGCGGACAGUGUCUGGUGGGUAGUUUGACUGGGGCGGUCUCCUCCUAAAGAGUAACGGAGGAGCACGAAGGUUGGCUAAUCCUGGUCGGACAUCAGGAGGUUAGUGCAAUGGCAUAAGCCAGCUUGACUGCGAGCGUGACGGCGCGAGCAGGUGCGAAAGCAGGUCAUAGUGAUCCGGUGGUUCUGAAUGGAAGGGCCAUCGCUCAACGGAUAAAAGGUACUCCGGGGAUAACAGGCUGAUACCGCCCAAGAGUUCAUAUCGACGGCGGUGUUUGGCACCUCGAUGUCGGCUCAUCACAUCCUGGGGCUGAAGUAGGUCCCAAGGGUAUGGCUGUUCGCCAUUUAAAGUGGUACGCGAGCUGGGUUUAGAACGUCGUGAGACAGUUCGGUCCCUAUCUGCCGUGGGCGCUGGAGAACUGAGGGGGGCUGCUCCUAGUACGAGAGGACCGGAGUGGACGCAUCACUGGUGUUCGGGUUGUCAUGCCAAUGGCACUGCCCGGUAGCUAAAUGCGGAAGAGAUAAGUGCUGAAAGCAUCUAAGCACGAAACUUGCCCCGAGAUGAGUUCUCCCUGAGACUUAAAGUCUCCUGAAGGAACGUUGAAGACGACGACGUUGAUAGGCCG
RNAcentral lists this ribosomal RNA (2122 nucleotides) under Salmonella enterica subsp. enterica serovar Enteritidis. RNAcentral describes it as "partial 23S ribosomal RNA". It matches the Rfam family "Bacterial large subunit ribosomal RNA", at positions 765 to 2863 of the family's 2925-position model. Lineage: Bacteria; Pseudomonadati; Pseudomonadota; Gammaproteobacteria; Enterobacterales; Enterobacteriaceae. The record is from RNAcentral.